Molecule: unclassified non-coding RNA, 253 nt
Filed under: Hevea brasiliensis (rubber tree)
Lineage: Eukaryota; Viridiplantae; Streptophyta; Magnoliopsida; Malpighiales; Euphorbiaceae
Source: RNAcentral
GCAGAAUUGCGCUGACCAGGUGGGCUACAAAUCCAGAAUUUUUAACAUACAUAGUCUAGUGCCUAGCUUGUUGGUUGUCAAACAAGAAACAACUCAAACUAACUAUAUACUAGCUAGUACUCCUAAUUGGCGGAGACUAAGCAGCCCUCAGGGCCUGAGCAGGCUCCUGAUGAUCUCGGCCUGCUCACUGUUGGCGUCCAUCGUCGACAUGAGCUCUGAAAGUCGAUCACUCAGAUCCUCCACCUCCUUGUGC